Molecule: unclassified non-coding RNA, 392 nt
Filed under: soil metagenome
Description: partial contains 5.8S ribosomal RNA, internal transcribed spacer 2, and large subunit ribosomal RNA
Rfam family: 5.8S ribosomal RNA (bases 1-122)
Source: RNAcentral
GAUGAAGAACGCAGCGAAAUGCGAUACUUGGUGUGAAUUGCAGAAUCCCGUGAACCAUCGAGUCUUUGAACGCAAGUUGCGCCCGAAGCCACUAGGCCGAGGGCACGCCUGCCUGGGCGUCACACGCCGUUGCCCCCCCAUCUACUCCUUCGGGAUUGCGGGGGGGCGGAUGAUGGCCUCCCGUGCGCCUAGCCGCGCGGUUGGCAUAAAUACCAAGUCCUCGGCGACGCACGCCACGACAAUCGGUGGUUGCGAAACCUCGGUUGCCCGUCGUGUGCGGUCGUCGCACAUCGAGGGCUCGAAAAAAUUGCCGGGCUCCGGCUCGGCUUUCAACGCGACCCCAGGUCAGGCGGGGUUACCCGCUGAAUUUAAGCAUAUCAAUAAGCGGAGGA